CAGUAGCCGCGGGAAUACGUAGGGUGCAAGCGUUAAUCGGAAUUACUGGGCGUAAAGCGUGCGCAGGCGGUUAUAUAAGACAGAUGCGAAAUCCCCGGGCUCAACCUGGGAACUGCAUUUGUGACUGUAUAGCUAGAGUACGGCAGAGGGGGAUGGAAUUCCGCGUGUAGCAGUGAAAUGCGUAGAUAUGCGGAGGAACACCGAUGGCGAAGGCAAUCCCCUGGGCCUGUACUGACGCUCAUGCACGAAAGCGUGGGGAGCAAACAGGAUUAGAUACCCCCGUAGUCCCUGUCUCUUAUAC
RNAcentral lists this ribosomal RNA (301 nucleotides) under uncultured bacterium. RNAcentral describes it as "partial 16S ribosomal RNA". It matches the Rfam family "Bacterial small subunit ribosomal RNA", at positions 509 to 807 of the family's 1533-position model. The record is from RNAcentral.